RNAcentral lists this ribosomal RNA (429 nucleotides) under Triticum aestivum (bread wheat). RNAcentral describes it as "partial small subunit ribosomal RNA". The record is from RNAcentral. Lineage: Eukaryota; Viridiplantae; Streptophyta; Magnoliopsida; Poales; Poaceae.
UGGAACCUUACUACAUCAGGAUCUUUCAUAGUAUACUCUAUGUACCAUAUGCUCAUGCAUUCUGAGGUACCAGUGAGUAAUAACAAGAAAAUUUGGAAGUCCAAGAUUCCACUAAAAGUGAAAAUCUUCUUGUGGUAUCUUCGUAGGGGAGUUGUGUUAACGAAAGAAAAUGUCGCAUGGUACAACUAACCAGGGAGUAAUAAGUGUUGUUUUUGCACUCGUGAUGAGGCAAUCAAACACCUCUUUUUCCAAUGCAAGUUUGCACGUUCUACAUGGUCAGUCAUCCAAAAAACGUCAAAUUUGUAUCCGUCCAUAAGUGUUGCCAAUAUUUUUAGCCAUGGGUUGAACGAUAUUCCGAAUAGAUUCAAAACGCUAAUAAGGGUGGGAGUGUAUGCCUUAAUUUGGUCGCUUUUGGCUAUGUAUAAAUGA